Molecule: ribosomal RNA, 245 nt
Filed under: uncultured Ornatilinea sp.
Lineage: Bacteria; Bacillati; Chloroflexota; Anaerolineae; Anaerolineales; Anaerolineaceae
Description: partial 16S ribosomal RNA
Rfam family: Bacterial small subunit ribosomal RNA
Source: RNAcentral
AACGUAGGAGGCGAGCGUUAUCCGGAUUUACUGGGCGUAAAGCGCGUGUAGGCGGCACGGCAAGUUGGAUGUGAAAGCUCCUGGCUUAACUGGGAGAGGUCGUUCAAAACUGCCGAGCUAGAGUGCGGGAGAGGGAGGUGGAAUUCCGGGUGUAGUGGUGAAAUGCGUAGAUAUCCGGAGGAACACCAGUGGCGAAAGCGGCCUCCUGGCCCGCAACUGACGCUCAGACGCGAAAGCUAGGGUAG